CAGUAGCCGCGGUAAUACGGAGGGUGCAAGCGUUAAUCGGAAUUACUGGGCGUAAAGCGCGCGCAGGCGGUCUGACAAGUCAGAUGUGAAAUCCCCGGGCUUAACCUGGGAACUGCAUUUGAAACUGUCAGGCUGGAGUCUUGUAGAGGGGGGUAGAAUUCCAGGUGUAGCGGUGAAAUGCGUAGAGAUCUGGAGGAAUACCGGUGGCGAAGGCGGCCCCCUGGACAAAGACUGACGCUCAGGUGCGAAAGCGUGGGGAGCAAACAGGAUUAGAUACCCCUGUAGUCCCUGUCUCUUAUAC
RNAcentral lists this ribosomal RNA (301 nucleotides) under uncultured bacterium. RNAcentral's name for it is "partial 16S ribosomal RNA". It matches the Rfam family "Bacterial small subunit ribosomal RNA", at positions 509 to 807 of the family's 1533-position model. The record is from RNAcentral.